GCGGAGAUGGCGGAAUCGGCAGACGCGCACGUUUGAGGGGCGUGUGGGUAUCCCGUGCGGGUUCAAGUCCCGCUCUCCGCACCA
RNAcentral lists this transfer RNA (84 nucleotides) under Thermobrachium celere. RNAcentral describes it as "tRNA-Leu". It matches the Rfam family "tRNA". From Rfam's summary of the family: Transfer RNA (tRNA) molecules are approximately 80 nucleotides in length. Their secondary structure includes four short double-helical elements and three loops (D, anti-codon, and T loops). RNAcentral also lists the same sequence under 4 other names. The record is from RNAcentral. Lineage: Bacteria; Bacillati; Bacillota; Clostridia; Eubacteriales; Clostridiaceae.